UCAGGUUUUCAGGCAUACCCGGUCUUUUCUCUUUCAGUUGCUGCUCCGGGGAAAGAAGUUUCAUUGGAGAAGGUGGUAUCUUCUAGUUGAUCACUUAAGCUUUUAGCUUAAAGGACUUAUCUUUGCUUGAACUUAGCCCGAGUAAGGCCGACUUAAAUAAAGAUAACUAGGUGCCAAGCCUUUAUAUAAAACCAUUUCUUUAUUCUAGUGCUUCGCUUGAUGGAAGCACUAGGGGAACGUCUUCUUAGUCUCACUCCCCUCUCGUCGCUGGUAACUAUCUCCUCUGGUCAGACACAAACGAAGGAAAGCACGCAAUCGAAAGCAAUAGGAAAGGCAGGCAACAGGAACAGAAAGAAGCAAUCGGUAUAAUAGGAUAUCCAGCAGGAAAGCCAGAA
Molecule: long non-coding RNA, 395 nt
Filed under: Panax ginseng (ginseng)
Lineage: Eukaryota; Viridiplantae; Streptophyta; Magnoliopsida; Apiales; Araliaceae
Description: long non-coding RNA (PGIN_LNC003511)
Source: RNAcentral